AGAGAAGAAGAAGAAAAAGAGUGUCAGCCCAUUUUGAGCUCUCUCUGUAGAGCUUUCAUUAGAGAAGGCAAAGGCUUUGACUGGUGUGCUGAAGGAGUUGUACUGUGUGAAUGUAAUGGGCAGUACUACAGAAAGAAUCUCUGCUGAUGCAAAGAGCUGGUCAGAAUGAAAGGGAGAGAGAUAUAUGUAUUAUCACCCUUUUGACAUUGUAAGAAGGAGAAAAUAUUGGUUAGGAAUGGCAAGUGUAGCAGCGGGAAAAAAAGGAGCUGCAUGGAAGACAUCAACAGCAAGAGGAAGAAGAGGAAGGAAAGGUUAAAGAGUAUUGUGAAAUUGGCACACACUUGAAAGGGUAUCCAAAAGACGUCAAAAAAGCAUGGAGAAUGGUUUCAAGCUUCAUCAGAGCUGCUGAAGAAGUGGUAAAGGAAAUUGAGGAAGCUGCUGAGAAAGGAGAGCUCAAUGAACUUGUUCUAAUGGUCAUAUGUAAUUGCCUUGAUUUUGCUAGACUUGAUGUAAAUUGGUCUUUUGUUGUCUCUAAAUUUUGUGUGGCAUCUUUUCUUCUAAUGCAAUGGUGUUGUAGUGUAAUGUUUUGCAAACUUGUUUUAUAGAAGGGUUGAGGUAUACAUUGCUGUUCAUCUAUA
Long non-coding RNA from Quercus lobata, 638 nucleotides. RefSeq lists it as uncharacterized. The transcript is spliced from 4 exons. The record is from RefSeq and is a predicted model, not a curated record. Lineage: Eukaryota; Viridiplantae; Streptophyta; Magnoliopsida; Fagales; Fagaceae.